ACAUUUUAUUAAACUGAUGAAAGUUCGGAUUAUCAGUUCCGUUAGAUACCUGUAAUUACUGUAAGAUUCUGUUACCAUCAUAUUGAAAAUGAACAUUUGAUUUUUAAGCAUUAUCUUGAAAUAAUAUUUAGAAAAAUAGAAAUGUUUACUUCCACUGUAAUUGGCGUCCAUUAAACUUACCUAGAACAUAUAUCCUUCUGUAGAUCAAACUAGAUUUUUUUUAUCAGAACCUGGAGAAUAUGGUAUGCAUUUAUUGCUUUUGUCAUGAAAAUCAGAAAAAUAUGUAUACAGUAACCAUACAAUGAUUACACACUGUCAUUGCUGAAACUGUAAAUCAGGAUUUACUUUGAACAAAAGCUGACUUGGUAUAUAUAUAGCUUGUAUAUUUUUCAGAUGAAAUCGUUUUUGUUUUUUUUAUUAUUUUUUUUUCAUCAUGUAAAACUACAUUUUCUAUUUUAUGUGUUUCUGUGAAUUUGAUUUGAUAAAAAUUGAUAUUUGUUACAAUCUAGGUAUCAGACUGAGGGACAGACAUUAUAAAAGAUAUAUUUUACAGCAUACUUUUGAACCGAAGGCUUUCUUGCAUGUGUGUUUUUUUUAAUUUAAGAUAUGAUUGGUAAUUCUUCAACAUUGCAACUGAUUUUUUCAACAUGGUUUUUGUCGAGCCUGCGACUUUUGUCGCAGGAAGCUCGACAUAGGGAUAGUGAUCCGGCGGCGGUGGCGGCGUUAGCUAACUUCUUAAAAGCUUUAUAUUUUAGAAGGUGGAAGGUCUGGAUGCUUCAUACUUUGUAUAUGGAUGCCUCAUGUUACGAAGUUUCCGUCAGUCACAUGUCCAAUGUCCUUGACCUCAUUUUCAUGGUUCAGUGACUACUUGAAAAAAAAGUUAAGAUUUUUUGUAAUGUUAGAUUCUCUCUUAUUAUAAGUAAUAGGAUAACUAUAUUUGGUAUGUGCGUACCUUGCAAGGUCCUCAUGCCCGUCAGACAGUUUUCACUUGACCUCGACCUCAUUUCAUGGAUCAGUGAACAAGGUUAAGUUUUGGUGGUCAAGUCCAUAUCUCAGAUACUAUAAGCAAUAGGUCUAGUAUAUUCGGUGUAUGGAAAGACUGUAAGGUGUACAUGUCCAACUGGCAGGUGUCAUCUGACCUUGACCUCAUUUUCAUGGUUCAGUGGUUAUAGUUAAGUUUUUGUGUUUUGGUCUGUUUUUCUUAUACUGUAUGCCAUAGGUCUACUAUAUUUGGUGUAUGGAAUGAUUGUAAGGUGUACAUGUCUAGCGGGCAGGUGUCAUCUGACCUUGACCUCAUUUUCAUGGUUCAGUGGUCAAAGUUAAGUUUUUGAGUUUUGGUCUUUUUUUCUAAUACUAUAUGCAAUAGUUCAACUAUAUUUGGUAUGUGCGUACCUUGCAAGGUCCUCAUGCCCGUCAGACAGUUUUCACUUGACCUCGACCUCAUUUCAUGGAUCAAUGAACAAGGUUAAGUUUUGGUGGUAAAGUCCAUAUCUCAGAUACUAUAAGCAAUAGGUCUAGUAUAUUCGGUGUAUGGAAGGACUGUAAGGUGUACAUGUCCAACUGGCAGGUGUCAUCUGACCUUGACCUCAUUUUCAUGGUUCAGUGGUUAUAGUUAAGUUUUUGUGUUUUGGUCUGUUUUUCUUAUACUGUAUGCCAUAGGUCUACUAUAUUUGGUGUAUGGAAUGAUUGUAAGGUGUACAUGUCUAGCGGGCAGGUGUCAUCUGACCUUGACCUCAUUUUCAUGGUUCAGUGGUCAAAGUUAAGUUUUUUGAGUUUUGGUCUUUUUUUCUAAUACUAUAUGCAAUAGUUCAACUAUAUUUGGUGUAUGGAAAUAUUUUAUGAUCUAUUUGGCAGUCACGCAGGUUUUAUUUGACCUUGACCUCAUUUUCAAGGUUCAUUGCUCAGUGUUAAGUUUUUGUGUUUUGGUCUGUUUUUCUUAAACUAUAAGCAAUAGGUCAACUAUAUUUGUUGUAUGGAAGAAUUGUUAGCUGUACAUGCCUGCCUAGCAUGGUUCAUCUGACCUUGACCUCAUUUUCAUGGUUCACUGGUCAAUGUUUAGUUUACUUGGUUAAUGUUAAGUUUAUGUGACAGUUGUAAUAAAGCUUUAUAUUUAGGACUAUCAACAUAAUAUCAAUGAUUAGUAAAGAAGGUGAGACAUUUCAGCGUGUGCACUCUUGUAUUUUUAUACGCCCGUUUACGGGACGUAUUAUGGUAUACCUCUGUCCGUCCGUCCUUCGACAACAUGUCGAACAUUAACUCAAAAACGCUUUAACCAAUUUGCAAAAAACUUUGGGGAAAUGUUUAUAUCUAUUGACGUGAGCUGCCUUUUGUUUUUUAUAAAUUUUAGAUUUUACGUUUCCGAGUUAAGGGGGUUUUAUUAAUUAAAAAAAGGGGGAUUUUCCAGUUUUCAGACAAGAACUCAAAAAUGCUAUCAGCAGUUCUCAUGAAACUUUGCUUAAUUGUUUAUAUCUAUUGACGUAAGCUCCCUUUUGAUUUUUAUACAUUUUAGAUUUUACAUUUCCGAGUUAUGGGGUUUUAUUCAUUAAAAAAGGGGGUAUUUUCCAGUUUUCUGACAAUAACUCAAAAAUGCUUUCAGCAGUUCUCAUGAAACUUUGGUGAAUUGUUUAUAUAUCUAUUGACUUAAGCUCCCUUUCAAUUUUUAUAAAUUUCUGAUAUGACAUUGAGAAGUUAUUGAACUUUAUUCUUUCAAAACGAGACGGGCGUAUCAUGCGCUCAUGGCGCAGCUGUUUAUCAGGAUAGGCUUUAAUGUUAUACUUUGAUUGGAAGGAAAGACUUUAAAAAAAUUCAAUUUUUUGUUGAUUGGUUUUCCUCAAAAUUUAUGGUAGCCAAGUAAGUUGUAUAAUAUAGAGACCAGUGUUAUAUAUGACUUGGAUAACUACCUCUUAAUGUAAAUUAUAUUUCAGGGCAUUAAAGUACCCUGUACUGAUAAAGCUUAAUAUAAAUGUUCAUGAAACUGGGAAGUGCACAGAAUAACAUACAAUUUUCAGCAAAACUUUAAACAUGCAAAGAUACUGUGUUCUCAAUCUUAAGCUUGUACAGUACUUGCGCACAAAGUAGCUGUCAUAUAUUAUAAUGAUACUAUCAUAGCAGAAAAUAGUUCAUGAUAUCAAAUGUUUGCAGUGCACUAAAUGCUUUUUUCUGUUGAAGGUCAAUUUGACUGAUGAAAUAAUGCUUACUUGCUCCAAGCAGUUGCUUUUAUAAAAGAAAAAUGCUAACUUAGCAGCAAAAUAGUAAACUGGCCGAUUUCAAGGGUGGAUCCAGGAUUUUAGGUUAAGGGGGACGCAAAUUUUAAAUUUUUUUUUAGGUAAAAUUAUCGAAAUAUUCUUUAUUAAGCUGAGGACAACCCAUGCUUUGCAAAUUUAAGGGGGGCGCACGCCCCGCCUGAAUCCGCCCUUGGAUUUAUACAUGUAUACAACAUGUACAAAAUUUGGUAAUACAAUGUAUACUGUUUAAAAUGACUGGAAGUCUGAGAAAAUGUUUAGAGUUAAGUCUACUUCCCGUACUAAUACUGUACUAAUACUGUAGAUAUGGAAAUCAAUCAUAUGUGUAAAUUUAUUACAUAUAUGCCAAUUUCCAGAUGAACUUCCAAAAUAUUAUAUUAGUUAUUGUGAUUUGAAACCAUGUUGUAAAAGAAGAUGACUCAGAAAUGUGUAUUUUAUAAUUUUUAUACGACCGCAAAAAAAAUUUUGUGGUCGUAUAUUGGUAUAACGUUGGCGUCAUCGUCAUCGUCGUCGUCCGAAGACACAUUAGUUUUCACACACUAACUUUAGUUUAAGUGAAUGGAUCUCAAAGAAAUUUUACCAUAAGGUUCAAUACCACAAAAGGAAGGUGGGGAUUGAUUUUGGGGGUUAUGGUACCAACAGUUAAGGAAUUGGGGGCCAAAAAUAUGCAUUUUUGUAACUUCCAGACAUAACUUGUGUGUAAGUGUAUGGAUCUCUCUGACAUUGUACCACAAGGUUCCAUAUCACAAAGGGAAUGCUGGGAUUGAUUUUGGGGGUAAUUGCCUCCAAAUUUUAGGAAUUAGGGGCCAAAAAAAAAAAGGGGCAAAAAACAAGCAUUUUUCUAGUUUCAUGACAAUAACUUGUGUGUAAGUGUAUGGAUCUUUAUGAAAUUGUACUACAAGGUUCCAUAUCACAAAGGGAAAGCUGGAAUUGAGUUCGGGGUAAUUGCCCGAAACGUUAAGGAAUUGGGGGCCAAAAAGGGGCCAAAAAUAAGCAUUUUUCUAGUUUCCAGACAAUAACUUGUGUUCAAGUGUAUGGAUCUCUCUGAAAUUGUACUGCAAGGUACCAUACCACAAAGGGAAGGCUGGGAUUGAGUUUGGGGGUGACGAAUCAUAAGGGGGUUCAAAAAAUUUGGGGGGGAUUUUUUUUUUCUUUUUUUUUUUCUUUUUUUCCUUUUUUUUUUCUUUUAAAAUUUUCCAUUUUAAGUUGGUUAUUUCUGUUUAAUAUUUAAAAGCAAAUAAUAAUGAUAUGGUAGGAGAUACACACCAAACAGGAUGUGUAAAUUAUUAUCUAAUAAGUAUUGUGCAAUAGCAAGAAAUUUUCAAUUGCACAGUAUUGCACAAUAGCAAGAAAUCUUCAAUUGCACAGUAUUGCGCAAUAGCAAGAAAUCUUCAAUUGCACAGUAUUGCGCAAUAGCAAGAAAUAUCCAAUAGCACAAUAUUGCGCAAUAGCAAGAAAUUGUCAAUUGUACAGUAUUGCGCAAUAGCAAGAAAUAUUCAAUUGCACAGUAUUGUGCAAAAGAAGAUACUUCAUAUAAAUUGCUUAUUUCUUGAUCAAUUUCAAUGGGGUUUUAUUCUUGAAUUCUUGGGGUUCUUUAAUAUGCUGAAUCUAACCGUGUAUUAAGUUUUUGGAUUUUGGGCCCCGUUUUUAAAUUGGUCCACAUUGAGGUCCAAAGGGUCCAAAAUUUAACUUUGUUUGAUUUCAUCAAAAAUUGAAUUAUUGGGGUUCUUUGAUAUGCUGAAUCUAACCGUGUAUUUAGAUUCUUAAUUUUUGGUUCCGUUUUCAAAUUGGUCUACAUUAAGGUCCAAAGGGUCCAAAAUUAAACUUAGUUUGAUUUUAACAAAAAUUGAAUUUAUGGGGUUCUUUGAUAUGCUGAAUCUAACCAUGUAUUUAGAUUUUUGAUUAUGGGCCCAGUUUUCAAGUUGGUCCAAAUCGGGGUCCAAAAUUAAACUUUGUUUGAUUUCAUCAAAAAUUGAAUUCUUGGGGUUCUUUGAUAUGCUGAAUCUAACCAUGUAUUUUGAUUUUUGAUUUUUGGGCCCCGUUAUCAACUUUGUCCACAUUGAGGUCAAAAGGGUCCAAAAUUUAACUUUGUUUGAUUUCAUAAAAAAUUGAAUUAUUGGGGUUCUUUGAUAUGCCGAAUCUAACCGUGUAUUUAGAUUCUUAAUUUUUGGUUCCGUUUUCAAAUUGGUCUACAUUAAGGUCCAAAGGGUCCAAAAUUAAACUUAGUUUGAUUUUAACAAAAAUUGAAUUUAUGGGGUUCUUUGAUAUGCUGAAUCUAACCAUGUAUUUAGAUUUUUGAUUAUGGGCCCAGUUUUCAAGUUGGUCCAAAUCGGGGUCCAAAAUUAAACUUUGUUUGAUUUCAUCAAAAAUUGAAUUCUUGGGGUUCUUUGAUAUGCUGAAUCUAACCAUGUAUUUAGAUUUUGGAUAUUGGACCAUAAUAGGUGAAUGUCCAAUUUAAAAUUUUUAAGUUCUUAGACCACAUUCAUUCUGUGUCAGAAACCUAUGCUGUGUCAAAUAUUUAAUCACAAUCCAAAUUCAGAGCUGUAUCAAGCUUGAAUGUUGUGUCCAUACUUGCCCCAACUGUUCAGGGUUCGACCUCUGCGGUCGUAUCAAGCUGCGCCCUGAGGAGCAUUUUAUUCUCAUUUCAGAUUUCAGAAAUUAAAAGAAAAUUUCUUCAAAUAUUUUUUCUGGGGGGUUAAUAUUCAAAAGCAUAGUGUAUUGCACAAAAGCAAAAAACCGGGGUCAAAUAAAUUUUAAUUUUUUUGGUAGGGGCCUGGGUGGGGGGGCAAUUCGCAACAGCAUAGUGUAUUGCACAAAAGCAAUAAAUUGAAUA
Long non-coding RNA from Mytilus californianus (California mussel), 6075 nucleotides. RefSeq lists it as uncharacterized. The record is from RefSeq and is a predicted model, not a curated record. NCBI's taxonomy places the organism in Eukaryota, Metazoa, Mollusca, Bivalvia, Mytilida, Mytilidae. The transcript is spliced from 2 exons.